Molecule: non-coding RNA, 75 nt
Organism: Macrostomum lignano
Lineage: Eukaryota; Metazoa; Platyhelminthes; Macrostomidae
Source: Rfam
GGGCCUGUAGUCUCAGUUGGUUAGAAAGUUGGACUUAAAAUCCAAAGGUCGCGGGUUCGAACCCCGCCAGGUCCA